AUGUCUGCGGUGCUCUUCAUUCUGGGCUUCCUAAUUGUGAUGCUGACAACCCUGGCUAUUGUGCUGCAGCCCACUGUCCCUGUCCUUAGUCCCCUGAGGAGCUGGAAGCCACGAUGGAGGAGCCUGGGUGAGCCACACAUCCCACCAGAGUAUGUCCUUCUUAAGGAAAGCCUUCUCUACUACCAGAUGCUUGGUCCUCGUGGUUCUGGAGGAGAUGCAGCCUUUGGAGAAAAAGGAGCUGUGCAUAAUGAAGAAGGGUGCUGUGCAGUGAGAGACCUGGAGGAUUUCAGUGUUCGCACCCUGUACGAUAAGUUGGAAGAUCAGAAUUUGCACCUGGCAUCGCAGCUGGCAAAGCACAGGAGGGAUGUGUUGGUGUUUUACAGUGGAAUCAGCCAGCAGAUUCAAGGUCUCAUGGACAUGGUGCGAGCACUGGAUGCUGAAGGCCUGAAAGUCUUUGCCAGGCAAAGGAUUUGUGGGCAUAGAUCUGCAGCCAGCAGCCAGGCAGCAGUGAGCAUUGAACAGUGUGAUAAACACUGCAGCAGCAGCUUCCAUGCAGCAGGGCAGGCAGAUGCAAUGCAGCAAGAGGCAAUGGAGUUGAUGAAAGCUCUGGAAAUCCUGCUUGGGAAAGCUCAGCAUAAGAGCAUGAAACAAGAGGUGGAGCAGCAGGUCCAUGGACAGAACAUGGUGGCAGUUUUACCCUCACUGCACAGUGAAAGUAAAGCAAAAGUAGUGGAAGGGCAGGACCCCUCAGGCUCAUCUGAUUGCUUUGAUGUUCAGGCAGCGCCCAAAGAACUUCUGAGCAGCAGAGCAGCACCACAUCUCGGUGUCAAGGGACACUGGGCAUCUAGACUGCAAAAGUACCAAUGCCUUCAUCUGCGAGAGGGGAUCUUAAACAGGAUGGGAAAUACACAGGAAAGUAACUUCAGCAGAAAUUCAGACUCCCCUGUUAAGCUGACGGUUACACAACUGGAGGAGAGGCUGGAUGAACUAAAUGAGGCGUUUGUUGAGUUGACAGUCCAGGCCAUGAGUCUGCAAGAAGAUGGGGAUCUAUUGGAAAAGGAGCUGAGAAAACAGGAGGAAUCACUUGUGGCUGCAAGCAACAAAGAAGUGUGGGGAGCUCAGCGGUGUUCAGAACUGUUACGUUCUUGGACCAUAAAGAGGGAUGAAGCCUUGCUGCUGGAAAUAGAGAAGAACUGUAUUGCCCAGAGGAUUGAAGAGAUAGAAGCACAACUAUUGAGUGCAUCUAAGUAAAGCAGACAGCAGUUCGGAUGUUUACAAGGGGAAAGGAAGGAACAAAUGAAGUCAAAGGAGGCUGAGUGAGAGAUGCUGCACUUGGGUCAAGUUAAUCCCAGGUAGGAGUAUGGACUUGGAGAUGUCCUUGAGAGCAGCCCUGCAGAGAAGGAGCUUUGGGUUCUGAUGGAUGUAAGUGGGACAUGGGGCAGCAGUGUGUGCUUGCAGCCCAGUAGGGGUGCUCUUGCACCCACAGAGGGUUGUACCCAUCUGCAGUGCUGUGUUCAGGCUUGGGGCUCCUGGUAUAGGAGGGAUGUGGCUACAAAGAGGGGUGGUGUGAUCAUGUAUUUAAUUCUUUCUUUGAAGUGUUCACUGCUAAUAGCUCUUUCUCCAGCCCUCUCUGAAAUCUGGAAGUCAAGCACCUUCUGGAGUAGCUGUGAAGUCCCCUCCGGUCUGGAAGGCUGUUCUUUCCCUGAGACUGCUGAUAAGACUGACUGAGUCCAGGGUCACUUACCUUGGAAGAAAAGGUAUGAUGAGAUCCUUACAAAGAUCUCUUCAGUUGAUGGCUUUGUGUGGCUCUGUGUUCUGAAAUAAGGCCUUCUCAAGCUGGGUAGUAUUUGCUUUUUUUCCAAUGUGAAGCUGUUAGCUAGUCUCCCAGUUAGCAGAAGCAGACAAUAUUAAUGGUGAUGUUUGUUGCAGUUACUGAGGCCCUCCUUGGAUAUGUGUUCAUGUAGUUAACCCUUGCUUCUCAUUCAGAAAGCCAUAAACUUUGAAACACUGUUUUUAUUGGACCUUUUGUUCCAUCAAACAAAAAUGUCCAUUGAGAAUUUCAUCGGGCACCUGAAAUUCAAGUUGCAUUUGGAAAUAAGUCAAACUGAAGCUAGGAUUCCCUCUGUAUGUUUCCUAACCAUCUCAGUUCCAACCCCCCCAAAAAAGCUCCUUUCAAAAGCUGCUGUGUUGAUGCCAAGUUCUGUCUCUUACAGGACUUGAUGGUCCCAACGUGGUUGUUCUUGUGCCACUGCUGCAAGACUAUUGCCACUCCUGGGCUGGUAUGUGAGGUGAGUGUUAGACAGGUUAGAUGGAAUGUACCCUGGAAGCACCAGAAUAUCACUUGAUCUUUUCUUAUCAGCUUCUUUUUUGUUUUUCUCUACAGCUAAGUUGGGUAUGUGGGAAGAUUGAAAAGUGUCACCAAAUAAAGCAGGCAAGCAACCGUGCUUUUGGAGGUUC
Molecule: long non-coding RNA, 2457 nt
Organism: Coturnix japonica (Japanese quail)
Lineage: Eukaryota; Metazoa; Chordata; Aves; Galliformes; Phasianidae
Source: Ensembl